RNAcentral lists this ribosomal RNA (129 nucleotides) under Lactiplantibacillus plantarum. RNAcentral describes it as "partial 16S ribosomal RNA". It matches the Rfam family "Bacterial small subunit ribosomal RNA", at positions 1 to 108 of the family's 1533-position model. The record is from RNAcentral. Lineage: Bacteria; Bacillati; Bacillota; Bacilli; Lactobacillales; Lactobacillaceae.
UAAUUUGAGAGUUUGAUCCUGGCUCAGGACGAACGCUGGCGGCGUGCCUAAUACAUGCAAGUCGAACGAACUCUGGUAUUGAUUGGUGCUUGCAUCAUGAUUUACAUUUGAGUGAGUGGCGAACUGGUG